This is a long non-coding RNA of Ictidomys tridecemlineatus (thirteen-lined ground squirrel), 1250 nucleotides long. RefSeq lists it as uncharacterized. The record is from RefSeq and is a predicted model, not a curated record. NCBI's taxonomy places the organism in Eukaryota, Metazoa, Chordata, Mammalia, Rodentia, Sciuridae.
GUCCCAUGGGCUCUCCAGGAGAGAGAAGGAAGUGGCCCCGGGCUCAGGGCCCAGGGUGGUUUGCCUUGUUCUUGGUUUGCAGAACGCUGUCCUCGUAAUGACUUGCUCCGGGGGCAGUGGUGGCCUCUAAAGGAGAAUGUUUCUGUUCCCACGAAAGGAGGACCUGGUCCCAGCUGAGGGAGAGCCUGGAGGAAGCAGAGCCUCUGUCACUCAGGAUCCAAGAUCACUGAUGUCUCAGAUGCCCAGGGCCUGAGCACUGCGGGGACUACAGAGCGCCAUGCCUCAGUGCAGGGCCAGGUUUGCCGGGGCUCCCAGCCUUCCCCUGCUCAGAGCAACGACCUGCCUCACUAAGCAGCGGACACAGCGGUGGUCAGCCACCUGUGGGGAGGACACCUGUGGACAGACGCUGCGGGGCUCAGUGAGGAUCUGGUCUGGGAUUUCCCCAAGGAGGAUUGUGGGUCGGAAUUGGAAGAUGAAAUAGACAUGGGAAUCCCUGGCCAGGUGAGAAGCAGGACUGGUUUCUUCGGUGUCACGGGAGGGGCUUCUCCUAAAAGAUAACAUAUACUAAUAAAAGAUACACAAAUAUUAGUAUCUCUCCUCCUUUUUUUGGGGGGGGGUGUCUGAGGACUGACCCCAGGGCCCUGGGCAGUGCUAGGUGAGCACUCCACCACUGAGCCACACUCCAGCCUGUCUCAUUUUACUACUUAGAUGGAGGAUCACAAGACAUGGGGAAGGAAAUCUACCAAGUGAAAACCAGAAUGGGGUGUAUUUUAAAAUUGGCACAUAUAAAGAUGAAUGGGGGAGACAAAAGCAGCAAAGAAUGUGGACAGGAAACCCCAAAGAAACAAAGCAAGUUUUAAAGCCGAUGAUGAGAAGUUUGUGCUCCUGGGCCCUCAUGAUUCCUGCCUCCUGAUGGGGACCGACUGUUCCUCGGCACCAGGGGACCCGGCUUGCUUGGAGCCAGCAUGGAUAUUGUCCAAGCCAGAGCCAAAGAUUUAAACCUGAGCACGGUCCCUAUCAGAAGUUCUCACCCCGCCACAGUAGGACCCAAGAAGUCAGCUGUGCACUGAGUGACUUGUAUGGAGCCAUUACCUGUAAGUGUUACCACGAUCCCAAAAGAUUCAGACCCCAUUGUGGUUGACAACCUACACCCUCAAUAAGGACAUUCACUGGGCUGGGUUGCAUAGCACAGGCCGGAAUCCCAGUGACUCGGGAGGCUGAGGCAGAAUUACAAGUUCAAGGCCAUUCUG